UAAGGCACUUCCAAGCCGUAC
RNAcentral lists this microRNA (21 nucleotides) under Caenorhabditis briggsae. RNAcentral describes it as "cbr-miR-124c". Its record names the gene cbr-miR-124c. The record is from miRBase by way of RNAcentral. Lineage: Eukaryota; Metazoa; Nematoda; Chromadorea; Rhabditida; Rhabditidae.